Juglans regia (Persian walnut) is the source of this 843-nucleotide long non-coding RNA. RefSeq lists it as uncharacterized. The transcript is spliced from 4 exons. The record is from RefSeq and is a predicted model, not a curated record. Lineage: Eukaryota; Viridiplantae; Streptophyta; Magnoliopsida; Fagales; Juglandaceae.
CUUCCGCAACUCUCCCUCUCCCACGUCUCUCUAUUCUCUUUUCGGUUUCAUUUGUAUUCCUUGUUGUUGGCGUUACUUUGUGGUUUCCGAAUCUCAUACCCAUAGCUCCCCAUUUCCGUUUUCACUUAAAAUCAAUUCCUCCAUUGCAGCAGUUCACACAGUGCUCCCUCGCGUUCCUCCAGUCGGCGGCUGUUUCUCUUCCUCUUGUUCAGGUUUUCAUCUUCAAUUUUUGGUCCUUGCCGUUAGGUUGAGUGGCAUUUUGUGAAUUUCUGGUUGUUGUGCGUCGUGAGUAUUUCGAGUUGGUGUGUUUCGGGUAGGUAUUGAAGCCUUUGUUGGAAUUUCUUAUUGCUGUAGCAUACUCAUAUAGUUUCUUCUUCGAAUUUAUUUUGAUUUACCCUCAUUUCUGCAAUUUUGUCUUUGCCGUGAGGUUUGAGUUUUCGUUUUGUGGGUUUCUGAGUUUGUCUUUCGUGUAAUCGUUGAAGCCUUUGCUGGAGUUCUAGUUGCCAUAGGUGACGAGACGGAUAGAGACCGUAUUCAAGUCAUAGAUAAUACGCUGCAAGAGUCAGAUGAUGUGGUGAGUUCAAAUGAGGACCUGAAUUAGAAUGCUGUUUGUGUUUAAGCUGAGGAGAUGUUGGUAGAAGAAGGACUUCUGGUGUUUUUAGUUUUAAUGCCUUUGAGUUUUAUUUAUGUCUUGAGUUUAGUAAGAUUUAUAAAAUAUUUAGUUGGUUUGUUAUGACUACCGGGAGGUUAUGGACCCCUUUGAUUUAUUAUUUUUGCAUUAAAGAUUGUGUGGAGUUUGUAAUGAGAUUAUUGAGAAGAUAUGAGAUUGAUUUCAUUUAUGAA